GAUGAACGCUGGCGGCGUGCCUAAUACAUGCAAGUCGAGCGAACAGACGAGGAGCUUGCUCCUCUGACGUUAGCGGCGGACGGGUGAGUAACACGUGGAUAACCUACCUAUAAGACUGGGAUAACUUCGGGAAACCGGAGCUAAUACCGGAUAAUAUAUUGAACCGCAUGGUUCAAUAGUGAAAGACGGUUUUGCUGUCACUUAUAGAUGGAUCCGCGCCGCAUUAGCUAGUUGGUAAGGUAACGGCUUACCAAGGCAACGAUGCGUAGCCGACCUGAGAGGGUGAUCGGCCGCACUGGAACUGAGACACGGUCCAGACUCCUACGGGAGGCAGCAGUAGGGAAUCUUCCGCAAUGGGCGAAAGCUUGACGGAGCAACGCCGCGUGAGUGAUGAAGGUCUUCGGAGCGUAAAACUCUGUUAUUAGGGAAGAACAAAUGUGUAAGUAACUAUGCACGUCUUGACGGUACCUAAUCAGAAAGCCACGGCUAACUACGUG
Molecule: ribosomal RNA, 497 nt
Filed under: uncultured bacterium
Lineage: Bacteria
Description: partial 16S ribosomal RNA
Rfam family: Bacterial small subunit ribosomal RNA
Source: RNAcentral